GUCGCUCCUACCGAUUGAAUGAUCCGGUGAAGUACUCGGAUCGCGGCGACGUGGGUGGUUCGCCGUCCGCGACGUCGCGAGAAGUUUUCUAAACCUUAUCAUUUAGAGGAAGGAG
This 115-nucleotide ribosomal RNA is filed under the name uncultured eukaryote. RNAcentral describes it as "partial small subunit ribosomal RNA". It matches the Rfam family "Eukaryotic small subunit ribosomal RNA", at positions 1675 to 1785 of the family's 1831-position model. The record is from RNAcentral.